CAGAAGGACUCUAGCAAUACAAUGAGAGGAGGGCCAGGUACCCACCCAAUUGAAAUAGAAAGUCUGAUUUAACAGGUUAUUCUUAUCUAUCCAGGUAGGGAUUUCUUCAGUAUACAACAACAAUCAGUCAGCAAUAAGCAAAUCUGAAUAAAUUAGAACCCUUUACUGUUAUCGACAUGCAGUUCUCAGUUAUUGAUUAUUGUUAGCAUAUCAACAGCCAAGACUGGAUUUCUGGAGGCACCCAAAGAGACAAUCCGCAGCCCCCUGUGUCUGUGCAGUUACCAGCCAGCCUCCCUGAGAACUUUUCACUGAAACACCAGAGAAAAUGAGAUUUUGGCUCCAUUUACUUUUCCUUGUGGCAGCUCUGGAAGGGGCCCGGUCACAGGUUGUUCUGACCCAAUCCGGUCCAGAAAUUAAGAAACCCGGAGAAUCCACUCAGUUGAAAUGCGCCGUGAGCGGGUUCGCUGUCUCCAGUUAUUACAUGGCGUGGUUCAGACAGGAGCCGGGAAAGGGGCUGGAGUGGCUGGUCAGCUAUCACACACCUUCAUCUACAAACUACUACUCUGACAGCAUCCAGGGGCGAUUCACAGCCUCCAAGGACAGCUCCAAUUUCUACCUGCACAUGACCGGCCUGAGACCCCAGGACACCGCCGUGUAUUACUGCGCCAGAGACACACAGUGUCUAUUCCCAGGUCAGCCUGGUGCUGUCUUUGGGGGGAUGAAGACCCAGAGAGACCCUCAGACUGACUUGCACAGUGUGCAGAUUCUCUCUCACUAGCUACGCGGUGCACUGGGCCCGCCAGCCAGCGGGGAAGGGGCUGGACUGGAUGGGAGGUAUCUGGGGUGAUGGAAGCACUAACUAUAACGAUGCUCUCAAAAGUCGCCUCAGCAUCACCAGAGACACCUCCAAAGGCCACGUGUCCCUCCAACUGACCGGCCUGCAGCCCGGAGACACCGCGGUGUAUUACUGAGCUAGACACACACAGGUAAGGGACGGAAACCUAUCAGAGCCCGCACUAAAACCAACCGUGAGGGAACCAGCCUUCUGGACUCUGGAGUGACAGACAGAAUUAGCUGCCAACACAGCGUCCUUUCUGCUUGGUCAUUCGCUUCGUACAGAGUCCAUGGCAAGUUACAAGCACUUGUGAAUUUAGCGCCGUCUCAUCCAUAG
Molecule: non-coding RNA, 1171 nt
Organism: Mauremys reevesii (Reeves's turtle)
Lineage: Eukaryota; Metazoa; Chordata; Testudines; Geoemydidae
Source: the annotation of a RefSeq genome assembly